ACGUGCCAGCAGCCGCGGUAAUACGUAGGGUGCAAGCGUUAUCCGGAAUUAUUGGGCGUAAAGGGCUCGUAGGCGGUUCGUCGCGUCCGGUGUGAAAGUCCAUCGCUUAACGGUGGAUCCGCGCCGGGUACGGGCGGGCUUGAGUGCGGUAGGGGAGACUGGAAUUCCCGGUGUAACGGUGGAAUGUGUAGAUAUCGGGAAGAACACCAAUGGCGAAGGCAGGUCUCUGGGCCGUCACUGACGCUGAGGAGCGAAAGCGUGGGGAGCGAACAGGAUUAGAUACCCUGGUAGUCCACGCCGUAAACGGUGGAUGCUGGAUGUGGGGCCCGUUCCACGGGUUCCGUGUCGGAGCUAACGCGUUAAGCAUCCCGCCUGGGGAGUACGGCCGCAAGGCUAAAACUCAAAGAAAUUGACGGGGGCCCGCACAAGCGGCGGAGCAUGCGGAUUAAUUCGAUGCAACGCGAAGAACCUUACCUGGGCUUGACAUGUUCCCGACAGCCGUAGAGAUACGGUCUCCCUUCGGGGCGGGUUCACAGGUGGUGCAUGGUCGUCGUCAGCUCGUGUCGUGAGAUGUUGGGUUAAGUCCCGCAACGAGCGCAACCCUCGCCCCGUGUUGCCAGCGGAUUAUGCCGGGAACUCACGGGGGACCGCCGGGGUUAACUCGGAGGAAGGUGGGGAUGACGUCAGAUCAUCAUGCCCCUUACGUCCAGGGCUUCACGCAUGCUACAAUGGCCGGUACAACGGGAUGCGAC
RNAcentral lists this ribosomal RNA (752 nucleotides) under human gut metagenome. RNAcentral describes it as "bacterial SSU rRNA". It matches the Rfam family "Bacterial small subunit ribosomal RNA", at positions 503 to 1253 of the family's 1533-position model. The record is from RNAcentral.